GCAUUGGAGGACCUCACCACCACCUGGAGCAGUCCUGAUCUCCCCAACUAAAGGAAUCAAUAGAGGCCAUCUUUUGACAUCAUCAGGAACUCGAACACAAAAGAGGGAAAAAAAUAAUAAUAAAGAAGCUUCACGGACUGGGAUUAAGAGUUACCUUGAACAUAACCUCCAUUCCAUAAUCUGGAUGUGGUUGAUCAUUGUACUUCAAUGAGCUGGUACUGCACGGCUUCCUCUUUAAUUUGGCCUUGGGCCAAAAGGUCUCUUCCUACGAGAUUCAAGCCUGCAAUGCAAAAGACACUAGUACAACAUCAAACAAGGAAUUGCAUUUCAUAAACAAAUUCCCUCGAAUUAAUUCCUUUUUUAUCUUUUUCUCCAAAUAAUUUCUCUGCCCAUUUGACAAUCAACAAAGCAAAAAGAUCAUGUUUUCCACUCUACAACACCAAAAAAUUUGGUCAAAAUUAUCACCUGAUUACAAAAUUGCUUGCUGAAUCUCAAGCAACCCAAGAUAUAAGUAAUUUCAUAACAUUAACGAUAGUUGCAUUAAAAUGGGUCAUAAAGUUCACCAAAUAUUUGAAUUUUACAGGAACCGAUGAGGUAAAAACAGACGUGAUCGUCUGAUCGAGCUAUGAGCAAUCAACUUUAAGAAUUUCCAACGAGAAUCUGAUAGCCAAUUAGCGUACCAAUUAGCCGAGAGAAAAUCAGGAACAUCGACGGACCCUCUGAAUCGAGAGCCGACUGAGAAGGCCGCCGGUUUGUUGUCUCCCUUGAAGGGCUUGGAUUUGGAUAAGAGAGACGGAGACCGUGGAGUUGAUAGAGAAGAACAGAACGACAUCGUUUCCUAACUCCAAACAAUCUUCACAGUUACCCCGCUGUGUGGGAGUUUCGUGUCCAUGUAUGUCUGUAAUAUGGAAAGUACGAGAAAGAAGUUUGAUAGGAGUAUCUUGUUUGUUGUGAACUGUCCGAUGAUAUUUUAUGGACAUCGUACGGUGGAAAUGUAGAAAAACCUACUCUGUAAAUACAUAAUUUCUUUUAACGGCACGUCGUUCAACUGAACAGAAACAAUUGAACAUGCGUCGCCUAUCACUCUUCUUACAAAGCCGAACUCACUGUAGAUGAAGCGCUCUGCGGCUCCUCUUCAAUUCCUUGCCGCUGCGGCCACCGACACUUCUGCCAUGUCUUCUCGCUCUUCU
RNAcentral lists this unclassified non-coding RNA (1190 nucleotides) under Hevea brasiliensis (rubber tree). The record is from RNAcentral. Lineage: Eukaryota; Viridiplantae; Streptophyta; Magnoliopsida; Malpighiales; Euphorbiaceae.